This is a non-coding RNA of Elaeis guineensis (African oil palm), 1686 nucleotides long. Lineage: Eukaryota; Viridiplantae; Streptophyta; Magnoliopsida; Arecales; Arecaceae. The record is from RefSeq and is a predicted model, not a curated record.
GAUCGUACUCUUCUUUUUCCGCAGCGGUUUCAACUAGGGUACUCUCGCCCCCACAAAAGACGGCGAUUUCAAAAAGAUGAGUUGAUGUCUACCGGGCAGAUGGCGGUGCGGGGAAAGUUGGCGUACGGGCUGUACCGGGUGGCGACCCUCGCGGGGGCCCCGCUGAUAUACCUGCACCUCCAUUGGCGGCGGCUGCGUGGCCUGGAGCAUCCCAGCCGGUGGCCGGAGCGCUUCGGCCGCCCUUCCUUGCCCCGCCCUCCCGGCCCUCUCCUUUGGUUUCACGCUGUCUCCUUGGGUGAAGGAUUGGCUGCGAUCCCCGUGAUCAAGCAUUGCGUUGGGCAGCACCCCGGUUUCGUUGUCUUAAUGACGACCACAACAACUUCGGCCUUUGAGGUCAUCAAGGACCGGCUACCAAAUGGUGUCAUCUAUCAGCUAGCUCCUGUUGAUUUUCCUUUGGUGGUGGAUGCUUUUCUUGGGUACUGGAAACCAGUAGCAGUCCUAUUAAUGGAAAGUGAACUCUGGCCCAACCUCAUUAUUUCUGCAUCAGAGAAAGGAAUCACUGUAGCAUUAUUAAAUGCUCGGAUGUCAUCCAGAUCUUUAAAGCGUUGGUCAGGACCAAUAGCUCUGCCAUUGAUCUCAUUCAUGUUGUCAAAACUAUCUUUGAUUGUCCCACUGAGCACAGUUGAGGCCAUCCGUUUCCAAUUGCUACAUGCAUCUCCUUCUAUCAUCAAUUUUGCAGGUGAUUUGAAAUAUGCUGUAGGAGAUUUUGAUAUCCUUGAGAAAGAGGGUAUGAAGAUUAAAGAUCUUCAGCUACAGCUUGCGGAAAGGCCAACUUGGAUGGCAGCAUCUUUACAUAAGGGUGAAGAAGAAGUCAUGCUCUGGGUUCACCUGGAAUUAAUCAAGAUUUACCCUGACCUGGUACUGAUACUUGUGACAAGGCAUCCGCAACAUGGACAACAGAUUGCCGUAGCAUUAAAGAGUCAGGGGCUGAAUGUUGCAUUGAGGUCUAGAAAUGAAAUAAUUUCACCUAGCUCAAACAUCUAUGUGGUGGACACAUUAGGUGAACUAAGAAUGCUCUACAGGGUUACCCCAAUAGCUGUGAUCGGAGGUUCCUUUUUACCUGGUUUAGCUGGACACAAUCUUUCUGAGGCUGCUGCAGCUGGUUGUGCUGUAUUGACAGGUCCUUACAUUGGACAUUUCUCCAAUAUGUUAGCGGAAAUGCUACAAUCAGAUUGUUUGUCAGUUCUGCAGGUAAGGUGAGGUGUUGCAACUUUAGACUCUGCAUGCCGUUCAUCCGUUGUUGAAUACAGAACAUGGCAUGUGGGAGGAAAUAUUGAAUUAUUUGAAGCACUUGAGCAGCUGCUUGGUGAUGUCAAAGCUUUAGGAGCGCGACAAGAAGCUGCAAGACGAGCAUUUUCAGCUGUUUCAAAUGGGGUUGUGAACCGAGUCUGGAAUCUUAUUAGUCACUAUGUUCUCAAAAAGACCCACUGAAAACCAGAUGAAGGAUGAUCUUGGCCCAGAUCUGAAGUGACCCCUGACAUGAGGACUCUGAUUCAUCUUAUUUGAAGGCUAUUCUCCCUGAUCUAUCUACAAAUCCGUAGCCUCAAAAAAUCUGAUGUACGCAUGUAGCAAAAUACUUUAUAUAUAUUUAUCGCUUCAUUGGGGCUGACAGCCAGACAAUUGGUG